UACGUAGGUGGCAAGCGUUGUCCGGAUUUAUUGGGUUUAAAGGGUGCGUAGGCGGCCCUGUAAGUCAGCGCUGAAAUAUCCCGGCCUAACCGGGAGGGUGGCAUUGAUACUGCAGGGCUUGAGUAAAGUUGAGGUUGGCGGAAUUGACGGUGUAGCGGUGAAAUGCUUAGAUAUCGUCAAGAACACCGAUAGUGAAGACAGCUAACUAAGCUUUAACUGACGCUGAGGCACGAAAGUGUGGGGAUCAAACAGG
Molecule: ribosomal RNA, 253 nt
Filed under: uncultured bacterium
Lineage: Bacteria
Description: partial 16S ribosomal RNA
Rfam family: Bacterial small subunit ribosomal RNA
Source: RNAcentral